This 212-nucleotide long non-coding RNA is filed under the name Capsella rubella. RNAcentral's name for it is "long non-coding RNA (CRUB_LNC002348)". The record is from RNAcentral. Lineage: Eukaryota; Viridiplantae; Streptophyta; Magnoliopsida; Brassicales; Brassicaceae.
AAAUAGGUAGAAAUGACACAAGAUGAAUUCAAAUACUUGUUGGGAAUCUCCCACCCCAGUUUGCUUUGACAAAACGAUACACAUUCUCGAGAAGACGAUCAGGGCCAGUCCUAUGUUUGCAAAUCUCUUAAUGGUAUCGAUCAAAUAUCUUGUCAAGUAAAAAGGAAUCAAAACAUCAGUGAACUUAUGAAAGAACAAAUAAUGAAAAACCC